GCCCGGGUGGCGGAACAGGUAGACGCAACGGACUUAAAAUCCGUUAGCUGGCAACGGCUGUGCCGGUUCGAGUCCGGCCUCGGGCACCA
Molecule: transfer RNA, 89 nt
Filed under: Gammaproteobacteria bacterium
Lineage: Bacteria; Pseudomonadati; Pseudomonadota; Gammaproteobacteria
Description: tRNA-Leu
Rfam family: tRNA
About the family: Transfer RNA (tRNA) molecules are approximately 80 nucleotides in length. Their secondary structure includes four short double-helical elements and three loops (D, anti-codon, and T loops).
Source: RNAcentral